AGCUUUGCGCAGUGGCAGUAUCAUGGCCAGUGAGUUUUAUCCAAGGCAUAAUUAUUGCUAAUUGAAAUUUUUUCUCAAUAUCCUGCCAUGACAACUUGAAACACAGUCAGCAUUGGCAAUUUUUGAGUCUCUACAGAGA
Molecule: small nuclear RNA, 139 nt
Organism: Otolemur garnettii (small-eared galago)
Lineage: Eukaryota; Metazoa; Chordata; Mammalia; Primates; Galagidae
Gene: U4
Rfam family: U4 spliceosomal RNA
About the family: U4 small nuclear RNA (U4 snRNA) is a component of the major U2-dependent spliceosome. The structure of U4 snRNA from yeast and human has been reported.
Source: Ensembl